GUUUUGUGAUGUAUAAAAACAGGCACCUUUUGGCUUAUUUUCUGGAUUUUGUACCUGAAGAAAUACCAAAGAAACCAUUGGCUGCCACUUCAUAAUCCAACCAUUGUGCUGUUCUUGGAAGAGGCCAAUUCUACUACCAGCAUUGCUGAAACAAUAGUCUGAACAGGCAUGUGCCUUAUUUAACAGUAGCUCCUAGUCAGGCCUGGAGCCAAGUAUCUGGACCUUAAGAAUAUUUUUAGUGCUGUUGGAAUGGAAAAAAUAAUUCUAGUUCACACCGACAGAUUGCUAGAGGAGCAACCUUUAUCAAUGUAUCAGCGAGCUUAUUAAGCUAACAGAACACUCCAUACACACCUCCAAACUGGCUAAGCAGAAAGGCUUUGAAUUUUUUGAAAGCACGUCUUCGGGUGAGAGAGCAUCCACAACUUUGCUUCAAUGCGCUUAAAACCCUCCCAGAACACCAGACUUGAA
Molecule: non-coding RNA, 468 nt
Organism: Phascolarctos cinereus (koala)
Lineage: Eukaryota; Metazoa; Chordata; Mammalia; Diprotodontia; Phascolarctidae
Source: RefSeq, a predicted model, not a curated record